This 516-nucleotide ribosomal RNA is filed under the name Enterobacter kobei. Its description in RNAcentral is "bacterial SSU rRNA". It matches the Rfam family "Bacterial small subunit ribosomal RNA", at positions 67 to 573 of the family's 1533-position model. The record is from RNAcentral. Lineage: Bacteria; Pseudomonadati; Pseudomonadota; Gammaproteobacteria; Enterobacterales; Enterobacteriaceae.
CAAAAAACAGAGAGCUUGCUCUCGGGUGACGAGUGGCGGACGGGUGAGUAAUGUCUGGGAAACUGCCUGAUGGAGGGGGAUAACUACUGGAAACGGUAGCUAAUACCGCAUAACGUCGCAAGACCAAAGAGGGGGACCUUCGGGCCUCUUGCCAUCAGAUGUGCCCAGAUGGGAUUAGCUAGUAGGUGGGGUAACGGCUCACCUAGGCGACGAUCCCUAGCUGGUCUGAGAGGAUGACCAGCCACACUGGAACUGAGACACGGUCCAGACUCCUACGGGAGGCAGCAGUGGGGAAUAUUGCACAAUGGGCGCAAGCCUGAUGCAGCCAUGCCGCGUGUAUGAAGAAGGCCUUCGGGUUGUAAAGUACUUUCAGCGGGGAGGAAGGUGUUGUGGUUAAUAACCACAGCAAUUGACGUUACCCGCAAAAGAAGCACCGGCUAACUCCGUGCCAGCAGCCGCGGUAAUACGGAGGGUGCAAGCGUUAAUCGGAAUUACUGGGCGUAAAAGCAGCACGCA